RNAcentral lists this transfer RNA (91 nucleotides) under Anopheles minimus. RNAcentral's name for it is "tRNA tRNA-Tyr". It matches the Rfam family "tRNA". Rfam says of the family: Transfer RNA (tRNA) molecules are approximately 80 nucleotides in length. Their secondary structure includes four short double-helical elements and three loops (D, anti-codon, and T loops). Lineage: Eukaryota; Metazoa; Arthropoda; Insecta; Diptera; Culicidae. The record is from RNAcentral.
CCUUCGAUAGCUCAGUUGGUAGAGCGGUGGACUGUAGCAGCGCACACGAAGAGAAAUCCAUAGGUCGCUGGUUCAAAUCCGGCUCGAAGGA